RNAcentral lists this long non-coding RNA (175 nucleotides) under Fukomys damarensis (Damara mole-rat). Its description in RNAcentral is "lncRNA (ENSFDAG00000023919.1)". The record is from RNAcentral. Lineage: Eukaryota; Metazoa; Chordata; Mammalia; Rodentia; Bathyergidae.
GAAAAGUAAGGCCUGGCCAGCAAAAGACAACUCUUCCUCCUUGUGUCCUGUAGCAUGGGCUGUAUUCACAGCUAACAAAUGAAGAGGAUAUGUCCACAAGGAUUUGAGAAGGAACAGAACAAUAGUCAUAGCAGACAUAAGGGAGGGCUGCAUUCCAGACCUCCACCACAGCAGG